GGGGAUUUAGCUCAGCGGCAUAAGCACCUGCCUUGCAAGCAGACGGUUGUGAGUUCAAUUCCCA
RNAcentral lists this transfer RNA (64 nucleotides) under Cavia porcellus (domestic guinea pig). It matches the Rfam family "tRNA", at positions 1 to 62 of the family's 71-position model. Rfam says of the family: Transfer RNA (tRNA) molecules are approximately 80 nucleotides in length. Their secondary structure includes four short double-helical elements and three loops (D, anti-codon, and T loops). The record is from Rfam by way of RNAcentral. Lineage: Eukaryota; Metazoa; Chordata; Mammalia; Rodentia; Caviidae.